RNAcentral lists this ribosomal RNA (460 nucleotides) under uncultured bacterium. RNAcentral describes it as "bacterial SSU rRNA". It matches the Rfam family "Bacterial small subunit ribosomal RNA", at positions 338 to 795 of the family's 1533-position model. The record is from RNAcentral.
CCUACGGGUGGCAGCAGUGGGGAAUAUUGCGCAAUGGAGGAAACUCUGACGCAGCCAUGCCGCGUGCAGGAAGACGGCCCUACGGGUUGUAGACUGCUUUUAUUUGAGAAGAAACCCUGGUACGUGUACCAGGCUGACGGUAUCAAAUGAGUAAGCACCGGCUAACUCCGUGCCAGCGGCCGCGGUAAUACGGAGGGUGCAAGCGUUAUCCGGAUUUAUUGGGUUUAAAGGGUGCGUAGGCGGGACAUUAAGUCAGUGGUGAAAGCCUGUAGCUCAACUACAGAACUGCCAUUGAUACUGAUGUUCUUGAAUUUGGUUGAGGUAGGCGGAAUACGUCAUGUAGCGGUGAAAUGCAUAGAUAUGACGUGGAACACCGAUCGCGAAGGCAGCUUACCAAACCAACAUUGACGCUAAUGCACGAAAGCGUGGGUAGCGAACAGGAUUAGAUACCCUGGUAGUC